GUACACUCCUGCGGGAGGCAGCAGUGGGGAAUUUUGGACAAUGGGCGAAAGCCUGAUCCAGCAAUGCCGCGUGAGUGAAGAAGGCCUUCGGGUUGUAAAGCUCUUUUGUCAGGGAAGAAACGGUGAGAGCUAAUAUCUUUUGCUAAUGACGGUACCUGAAGAAUAAGCACCGGCUAACUACGUGCCAGCAGCCGCGGUAAUACGUAGGGUGCAAGCGUUAAUCGGAAUUACUGGGCGUAAAGCGUGCGCAGGCGGUUUUGUAAGUCUGAUGUGAAAUCCCCGGGCUCAACCUGGGAAUUGCAUUGGAGACUGCAAGGCUAGAAUCUGGCAGAGGGGGGUAGAAUUCCACGUGUAGCAGUGAAAUGCGUAGAUAUGUGGAGGAACACCGAUGGCGAAGGCAGCCCCCUGGGUCAAGAUUGACGCUCAUGCACGAAAGCGUGGGGAGCAAACAGGAUUAGAAACCCUGGUAGUCCCAU
RNAcentral lists this ribosomal RNA (476 nucleotides) under uncultured organism. Its description in RNAcentral is "partial 16S ribosomal RNA". It matches the Rfam family "Bacterial small subunit ribosomal RNA", at positions 331 to 798 of the family's 1533-position model. The record is from RNAcentral.